UUUGGAGAUUUGAUCCUGGUUCAGAACGAACGCUGGCGGCAGCUUAACACAUGCAAGUCGAGCGCCCCGCAAGGGGAGCGGCAGACGGGUGAGUAACGCGUGGGAACGUACCAUUUGCUACGGAAUAACUCAGGGAAACUUGUGCUAAUACCGUAUGAGCCCGAAAGGGGAAAGAUUUAUCGGCAAAUGAUCGGCCCGCGUUGGAUUAGCUAGUUGGUGGGGUAAAGGCCUACCAAGGCGACGAUCCAUAGCUGGUCUGAGAGGAUGAUCAGCCACACUGGGACUGAGACACGGCCCAGACUCCUACGGGAGGCAGCAGUGGGGAAUAUUGGACAAUGGGCGCAAGCCUGAUCCAGCCAUGCCGCGUGAGUGAUGAAGGCCCUAGGGUUGUAAAGCUCUUUCACCGGUAAGAUAAUGACGGUAACCGGAGAAGAAGCCCCGCUAACUUC
RNAcentral lists this ribosomal RNA (449 nucleotides) under Blautia producta. RNAcentral describes it as "bacterial SSU rRNA". It matches the Rfam family "Bacterial small subunit ribosomal RNA", at positions 1 to 504 of the family's 1533-position model. The record is from RNAcentral. Lineage: Bacteria; Bacillati; Bacillota; Clostridia; Lachnospirales; Lachnospiraceae.